Molecule: ribosomal RNA, 689 nt
Filed under: uncultured organism
Description: bacterial SSU rRNA
Rfam family: Bacterial small subunit ribosomal RNA
Source: RNAcentral
CUACGGGAGGCAGCAGUAAGGGAUAUUGCGCAAUGGACGAAAGUCAGACGCAGCGACGCCGCGUGGGCGAUGAAGGCCUUCGGGUUGUAAAGCCCUUUUAUGGGGGAAGAGAAAAAGGACGGUACCCCAGGAAUAAGUCCCGGCUAACUACUUGCCAGCAGCCGCGGUAAAACGUAGGGGACAAGCGUUAUCCGGAUUCACUGGGCGUAAAGAGCGUAGAGGCGGUUCCGUAAGUUGGGCGUGAAAGCUCCGGGCUUAACUCGGAGAUGUCGUUCAAUACUGCGGGGCUUGAGGACAGCAGAGGAAGGUGGAAUUCCCGGUGUAGUGGUGAAAUGCGUAGAUAUCGGGAGGAACACCCGUGGCGAAGGCGGACUUCUGGGCUGUUCCUGACGCUGAAGGCGAAAGCUAGGGGAGCGAACGGGAUUAGAUACCCCGGUAGUCCUAGCUGUAAACGAUGGAUGCUGGGUGUGAGGGGUGUAGAUUCCCUCUGUGCCGAAGCAAACGCGUUAAGCAUACCGCCUGGGGACUACGGCACGCAAGGAUAAAACUCGGAACGAAUUGACGGGGGCCAGCACAAGCAGCGGAGCGUGUGGUCAAAUUCGAUGCUACACGAAGAACCGUACCUGGCUUUGACAUGCACUUGGUAGGGAACCGAAAGGGGACCGACCUUCGGGAGCGUGCACAGGUGC